This 663-nucleotide long non-coding RNA is filed under the name Callithrix jacchus (white-tufted-ear marmoset). RNAcentral's name for it is "lncRNA (ENSCJAG00000068675.2)". Lineage: Eukaryota; Metazoa; Chordata; Mammalia; Primates; Cebidae. The record is from RNAcentral.
GCAGAUUUAAAUGACUCAGCAGUAGGACUCAGGUCUCUGUCUCUGCCUGCUUACUUAGGGAGUGCUCCAGCCUUUGGGGCUGUCUUGCACUGCAGCAUAGGAAGGAAAUCAUCGACGGCUCCAUUCCCUGGCGUUUGAGACUUUUCUUCCCACAGACACAUUCCUGAGGACACCAGUCAUGCGUAAAGAACUCCACUGGGGUCAGAGUUGGAUCCCACUAGGCAGUUUAGGACUUGUAAGCAGAGUAGCACAGACUUGGUGUUCCCAGAGCCUCUCACUCAUGAUUCAUGGCUCUCCACCCCAAGCAUCGGACUUGCUCAACUUCACCACAGAAGAAAACAGACUGUAAGCUUAGAGGGCCAGGGAGGAAACUGGAGGCACGUGUGGGAGGAAAAGAUACUGAUGGAUACAGAGAGAAGACAGCUAUCUGCAAACCAGAAAGACGGUCCUCACCACACAUCUUAUCUGCCAAUGGAUCCUUGCUCUUGAACCUCCCGAUCUGCAGAAUCAUGAGAAAUAAACAUUGUGUAAGCCACCCAGUCUACAGUAAUUUGUUCUAGCAGCCCAAGCUGACUAAGAUAUGGUCUCAUUACAUAACCACUUUUAACCCUAGUCUUUCUAUCUGUAAAGUAAGAGGGUGAAAGAAGUCAUGCCAGAAGAUGU